Molecule: long non-coding RNA, 672 nt
Filed under: Homo sapiens (human)
Lineage: Eukaryota; Metazoa; Chordata; Mammalia; Primates; Hominidae
Description: HSALNT0214481
Source: RNAcentral
UUUUAGUCUAGAAUUCUUUAUAUUCAAGUUCUGUGCUUUCUGAAGGCCCACCUCCAGUACCUUCUCUUCUAUGGACUCAUUCUGCACAGCCUUUUCAUGUUCAUUAAGCAUCUAUUAAGAGGUGUUUGUCUUUCAUUGAUAAUGUCCUGUUUUUCCAGUGAGUUUGCAAAAGUUACCUGAAUGUCUUAUUGCUCGUUGUAUCUAGCAUACAAACAAUAGAUAUUCAGUAAGCAUUUAUCAUCUUUAUUGAUGAAAUAUAUGAUAAAAGUCACAUAGUGUUAGUUACAUCAUUCCUGGAAACACUGAGCCUAGCCUCAUUAGCUUUUGAACAAGCAUAAGAAAAAAAUAUCAGUCACUUAUAUAGUUUGCUUUAAAUUUUUAUUUAAUAAAUUUCUGUGGUAAAUAAGUCAAGCUGUAAAAAUCUCUUGUUUUAUUUCCUUUUAGUAGAUAUGGAAAUAAAUAAUUUAAUUGUAUUUAAUAGCUUCUAUAAUUCUAUUUUAGGUUGGUAGAGAUCCCUCAAUUCAUAUAUGGGAUACAGAGACCAUUAAACCAUUGUCCAUAUUAAAGGGCCACCACCAGUAUGGUGUUAGUGCCGUUGAUUUCUCAGCGGAUGGGAAACGUUUGGCAUCAGUUGGCAUAGAUGAUAGCCAUACUGUUGUGCUCUGGGACUGG